This is a non-coding RNA of Picea glauca (white spruce), 128 nucleotides long. Lineage: Eukaryota; Viridiplantae; Streptophyta; Pinopsida; Pinales; Pinaceae. The record is from Rfam.
UCUUAUGUACAUACAUGCAACAUAGAGUCAAUGCACUAGAUCCCAUUAGAACUUCACAUUUAAGCAUGCUCAGGCUAGAGUAUUACUUGGAUGAGUGAGCAUCGGGGAAUUCCUAGUGUUUUAAAUGC